GGAGGGGUCGCAUAGCGGUCUAGUGCGAAGGUCUUGAAAACCUUUGUGGCGCAAGUCACCGUGGGUUCGAAUCCCACCCUCUCCGCCA
Molecule: transfer RNA, 88 nt
Filed under: Candidatus Woesebacteria bacterium
Lineage: Bacteria; Candidatus Woeseibacteriota
Description: tRNA-Ser
Rfam family: tRNA
About the family: Transfer RNA (tRNA) molecules are approximately 80 nucleotides in length. Their secondary structure includes four short double-helical elements and three loops (D, anti-codon, and T loops).
Source: RNAcentral